AAACUAACAAGGAUUCCCCUAGUAGCGGCGAGCGAAGCGGGAAAAGCUCAAAUUUGUAAUCUGGCGCCUUCGGCGUCCGAGUUGUAAUCUCGAGAAAUGUUUUCCGUGUUAGACCGCAUACAAGUCUCUUGGAACAGAGCGUCAUAGUGGUGAGAACCCAGUACACGAUGCGGAUGCCUAAUACUUUGUGAUACAUUUUCGAAGAGUCGAGUUGUUUGGGAAUGCAGCUCAAAUUGGGUGGUAAAUUCCAUCUAAAGCUAAAUAUUGGCGAGAGACCGAUAGCGAACAAGUACCGUGAGGGAAAGAUGAAAAGCACUUUGGAAAGAGAGUUAACAGUACGUGAAAUUGUUGGAAGGGAAACACAUGCAGUCAGACUUGCUAUUCGGGGCAACUCGAUUGGCAGGCCCGCAUCAGUUUUUCGGGGCGGAAAAGCAUAGAGAGAAGGUAGCAGUUUCGGCUGUGUUAUAGCUCUUUAUUGGAUUCGCCCUGGGGGACUGAGGAACGCAGCGUGCUUUUAGC
Molecule: ribosomal RNA, 519 nt
Filed under: Sporobolomyces blumeae
Lineage: Eukaryota; Fungi; Basidiomycota; Microbotryomycetes; Sporidiobolales; Sporidiobolaceae
Description: LSU rRNA
Rfam family: Eukaryotic large subunit ribosomal RNA
Source: RNAcentral